This 276-nucleotide ribosomal RNA is filed under the name uncultured bacterium. RNAcentral's name for it is "partial 16S ribosomal RNA". It matches the Rfam family "Bacterial small subunit ribosomal RNA", at positions 337 to 629 of the family's 1533-position model. The record is from RNAcentral.
UCCUACGGGGCGCAGCCGUGGGGGAUAUUGCACAAUGGGGGAAACCCUGAUGCAGCGACGCCGCGUGAGUGAAGAAGUAUUUCGGUACGUAAAGCUCUAUCAGCAGGGAAGAAAAAUGACGGUACCUGACUAAGAAGCACCGGCUAACUACGUGCCAGCAGCCGCGGUAAUACGUAGGGGGCAAGCGUUAUCCGGAUUUACUGGGUGUAAAGGGAGCGUAGACGGCUGUGCAAGUCUGAAGUGAAAUGCCGGGGCCCAACCCCGGACCUGCUUUGG